CAGUCGCCGCGGUAACACCGAGGAUGUAAGCGUUAUCCAGAAUGAUUAGGCGUAAAGCGUCUGUAGGUGGCUUUUCAAGUCCACCGUCAAAUCCUCGGGCUCAACCCUCGAUAGGCAGUGGAAACUACCAAGAUGGAGUACGGUAGGGGCGGAGGGAAUUUCCGGUGGAGCGGUGAGAUGCGUUGAGAUCGGAAAGAACACCAAUGGUGAAAGCACUCUGCUGGGCCGACACUGACACUGAGAGACGAAAGCUAGGGGAGCAAAUGGGAUUAGAUACCCCCGUAGUCCCUGUCUCUUAUAC
This 301-nucleotide ribosomal RNA is filed under the name uncultured bacterium. RNAcentral's name for it is "partial 16S ribosomal RNA". It matches the Rfam family "Bacterial small subunit ribosomal RNA", at positions 509 to 807 of the family's 1533-position model. The record is from RNAcentral.